GGGUUGUGAGGUUAAGCGACUAAGCGUACACGGUGGAUGCCCUGGCAGUCAGAGGCGAUGAAGGGCGUGCUAAUCUGCGAUAAGCGCCGGUAAGGUGAUAUGAACCGUUAUAACCGGCGAUACCCGAAUGGGGAAACCCAGUGUGACUCGUCACACUAUCAUUAACUGAA
This 170-nucleotide ribosomal RNA is filed under the name Salmonella enterica. RNAcentral describes it as "partial 23S ribosomal RNA". It matches the Rfam family "Bacterial large subunit ribosomal RNA", at positions 1 to 162 of the family's 2925-position model. The record is from RNAcentral. Lineage: Bacteria; Pseudomonadati; Pseudomonadota; Gammaproteobacteria; Enterobacterales; Enterobacteriaceae.